UUAAUGAAAGCAACUAAUGGAAUAAAACUCUUACCAUCGAUGCUCCUCUAUUGCUGAUCUACAUCCUCACCCUUCUCAUCUCUGAUCUGUCCCUCACCCCUCAAUCUUCCUAGCGUUGAUCUACUUCACUUCACCAUUUUGAGCCCUAAUUUGAGAGAAAAUUCCCAUUUGAAGAUAAAGAAAAAAGGCUCUCUCUCUCUCUCUCUCUCUCCCUCUCUCUCUUUCUCUCUCUUAAAACCCCUCUCAAAUCAUCCACUUCCAUUCUCUCUACAAGGCCCUUCGAUUUCCCUCAAAGCCCCUCUCCGACCCCAAUUUACAACGAUUCAGAUGUGAAGUCAAAGCCUCGAAAGUGACUCAUCAAGAAGAACACGACGGCUGAGGAGAGCACUCCUGAUUUUGGAAUCGAAGAAGAGGAUGAUGCGGAAGAAUUGGGGGAUUUUAUGAGAGAAGAGUCAGACUACGAUGAUUUUGGGGAUGGAAAGAGGAAGAAGUUUGAGAAAGAUUGUAUUGGUAGUAGUAGGAAGCGGGACAGACAUUGAUAAACACACGUUCACUCUCUGCCUUCCUCGCUCUCUACCUCAACUACCCCUCUUCAGCACCACCACCGACUUUGCCCAUUCUCCCUUUUUAGCGCUACUACCGACAUCGUAUCUCCGAACUAGCGUUAGCGCCGCCAUUAUCUCUUCGAGUAUUCAAGAAUUAGGGACAGACAUUGAGAAACAUCAUGAAAUAUUUUUGAUCUCUUCUUUAUCUCUCUCUAUUGAUUUGGUUUUGGCUAUGAAUAUAGUUUUCAUCUUCUCUCUCUUAGUUUGGUUUUGAAUGUUUUGUUUCAUUUCCUUUUUAUGAUUGCUUUGUGUUUUGAUUGCCCCUUUGUAUAUCUUUAUUCUCUCUCUGUUUGGGUUUUAUUUUCUUAGAUUUCCUUAACUUCUCUUUAUGUAUGCUAUGUAUUUGAUCAAAUGUCACAAUGUACAAGUAGAACUUCUUUGAAAAUUCAGACUAUUUUAUUUGCUUUAUUUAUUUAAUUUGCAUACAUGUCAAACUAUUAUUAUUUAUUUAAUCCAUUAAGGGAAAUGAAACGUUAGGUGCUCCAGCUGUUUUAGACAUUGAAAAUAAUCCCACAACUUUGUUGGUAAUGAACUGUUGCAAGAAUUUUGAGCAAGAACAACAAAGAGAUUGCUAGUGAUGUUGGUGCAGGGGAGUUUCCUCUAAAACUAAAAAUUAAGGGAAUGGUAAUUAACAUGGAUGCCAAAUGUCUUAGAGGUCAAUGUAAUAAUUGAGAGCAUUGAUAAUGUAGGUUGUAGAUCUGUAAGGAUGAUUAGAACUUGGUUGGGUAUGGCUUAUUAUGAACAAUAUUUUUUUUCAUCUUUCUUGGCCCUACUUAUUCUCCAAAUACGUUAUUGUCUUUCUAGUUCUUGAACCUUGGGUGCUUAAAUAUUGUCCAUGAUUUAAUGCAGAUCAAGCACAAAUUGACCUCGAUGCAAAGAAACUAUAAAGUUAUGUGAAGGAGAAGUCCUUCUUGAUUUCAGAAAAAGGUGUUCUUACUGACAAGAUCAAUGCGGGUGUUCUCAGAUCUCUUGUGUCCCUAACAGACAAACCAAAAGGUUGACAUAAAGCAUGAAAUGGAGAGGACGGAGCAAGAAAAGAAGAAAAAUCAAAAGGUUGAAUUUGUUAUAGGAGGAACACAACAUGGAGUGGUUGCACAGGCACCAAAAAUUAAUAUUCCAAUUUCAGGUGCAAUAAAUGUGGUUGCUGGUGGGUUACAUCCAGUUCUAGGUGCAGUUGAUUCUGUGACUCGGGAUGGCAGGUAAAAUAAGAAGUCAAAGUGGGAUAAGGUUGUGAUCUUCACAUAUAGUAAACUGGGCUCAAUUGGCCCGCUUCUAUGAGCGCUAUAUUUUUUGUUGUUGUAAAGAUACAAGUAAUGAUCAGUAAUUUUUAGGUGGAUGGUGAUCGAAGAAAUCUGCUGCCUCUUGGAGGGUAGGAUUCUUUAUCUGUAGCUGGUGCACAUGCAGCAUUCUUAAGUGCUGCUAAUGCUGGCUGCCUACAAUGUUGGAGGUCAUGCAGUAAGUGCAGAUACAAUACAGAAUUCUAUCCUUGGAUGCCGCAUGUCUCAUCCUGAACAGGUGAUCAGGUGCGGGACAAGGCUUAAGCUGUUGCCUGGAAUUCUAUUUUGUCAAGCUAACCAUAGUGCCUCCCGGGGAGGUUCUCAAGUGUUCAAGCGUCCAAGUCAAGUGCACGUGGUGUCUGUUUUAUCAUUUUCCUCUUUAGGACAAGACUUUUAUGUAGACUGUAUAAAAGAGCUAAGUCUAGUUUUGUUUUAUCCACUUUUUGGUGCUGUAAGGAUGACGUAUUUAUGACGUCACAUAUAUGUGAAUGUAAGUCUUUAAUUUUAUUGUCCCAUAUAUGUCUGCACAGCUCUAUGGACAUCAUAUGUUUGUAUAAAU
This is a non-coding RNA of Camellia sinensis, 2441 nucleotides long. The record is from RefSeq and is a predicted model, not a curated record. NCBI's taxonomy places the organism in Eukaryota, Viridiplantae, Streptophyta, Magnoliopsida, Ericales, Theaceae.